RNAcentral lists this ribosomal RNA (207 nucleotides) under uncultured bacterium. RNAcentral describes it as "partial 16S ribosomal RNA". It matches the Rfam family "Bacterial small subunit ribosomal RNA", at positions 1294 to 1500 of the family's 1533-position model. The record is from RNAcentral.
CGGACUGUAGUCUGCAACCCGACUACACGAAGCUGGAAUCGCUAGUAAUCGCGAAUCAGAAUGUCGCGGUGAAUACGUUCCCGGGUCUUGUACACACCGCCCGUCACACCAUGGGAGUCGGGAAUGCCCGAAGUCAGUGACCCAACCUAUAGGAGGGAGCUGCCGAAGGCAGGUCUGAUAACUGGGGUGAAGUCGUAACAAGGUAAC